Molecule: ribosomal RNA, 800 nt
Filed under: uncultured bacterium
Lineage: Bacteria
Description: bacterial SSU rRNA
Rfam family: Bacterial small subunit ribosomal RNA
Source: RNAcentral
AUAGAUGGGUCUGCGUGCCAUUAGCUGGUUGGUAGGGUAACGGCUUACCAAGGCGAUGAUGGCUAGGGGGUCUGAGAGGAUGAUCCCCCACACUGGGACUGAGACACGGCCCAGACUCCUACGGGAGGCAGCAGUGAGGAAUCUUGCGCAAUGGGGGCAACCCUGACGCAGCCACGCCACGUGCCGGAAGACGGCCCUACGGGUUGUAAACGGCUUUUGUUUGGGAAGAACUGUCCUGUUUCGAUGGGGCUUGACGGUACCAAACGAAUAAGCACCGGUUAACUCCGUGCCAGCAGCCGCGGUAAUACGGAGGAUGCAAGCGUUGUCCGGAAUCACUGGGUGUAAAGGGUGCGCAGGCGGGCGCCUAAGUCGGGGGUGAAAUCUUGCCGCUUAACGGUAAAAUGGCCCCCGAUACUGGGUGUCUUGAAUCUGACAGAGGUCGGUGGAAUUCGUGGUGUAGCGGUGAAAUGCGUAGAGAUCACAAAGAACACCAGUGGCGAAGGCGGCCGGCUGGGUCAGUAUUGACGCUGAGGCACGAGAGCGUGGGGAGCGAACAGGAUUAGAUACCCUGGUAAUCCACGCUGUAAACGAUGUAUGCUAGUUGUCGGGCCUUUGGGUUCAGUGACGCAGUUAACGCAGUAAGCAUACCACCUGGGGAGUACGUUCGCAAGAAUGAAACUCAAAGGAAUUGACGGGGGGCCCCCCCAAGCGGUGGAACCUGGUGCCUUAUUUCGGGGCACCGCGAAAAACCUUACCCGGGGUUAAAUCACCCGGGAACCGCUCCCGAAAACGGAGCUUCC